Molecule: unclassified non-coding RNA, 308 nt
Filed under: plant metagenome
Description: partial contains 5.8S ribosomal RNA, internal transcribed spacer 2, and large subunit ribosomal RNA
Rfam family: 5.8S ribosomal RNA (bases 1-105)
Source: RNAcentral
GAAAUGCGAUAAGUAAUGUGAAUUGCAGAAUUCAGUGAAUCAUCGAAUCUUUGAACGCACAUUGCGCCCGCCAGUAUUCUGGCGGGCAUGCCUGUUCGAGCGUCAUUUCAACCAUCAAGCCCCCGGGCUUGUGUUGGGGACCUGCGGCUGCCGCAGGCCCCGAAAACCAGUGGCGGGCUCGCUGUCACACCGGGCGUAGUAGAUUUUUCGUCUCGCCCAGGGCGUGCUGCGGGUUCCGGCCGUUAAAAAGCCUCUCUUUUUAACCCAAGGUUGACCUCGGAUCAGGUAGGAAGACCCGCUGAACGUAA